CAGCAGCCGCGGGAAUACGAAGGGUGCAAGCGUUAAUCGGAAUUACUGGGCGUAAAGCGUGCGUAGGCGGUUUGUUAAGUCUGCUGUGAAAUCCCCGGGCUCAACCUGGGAAUGGCAGUGGAUACUGGCAAGCUAGAGUGUGUCAGAGGAUGGUGGAAUUCCCGGUGGAGCGGUGAAAUGCGUUGAGAUCGGAAGGAACGCCCGUGGCGAAAGCGAGGUCCUGGACGUUUUCUGACGCUGAGACGCGAAAGCUAGGGGAGCGAACGGGAUUAGAUACCCCAGUAGUCCCUGUCUCUUAUAC
This 301-nucleotide ribosomal RNA is filed under the name uncultured bacterium. Its description in RNAcentral is "partial 16S ribosomal RNA". It matches the Rfam family "Bacterial small subunit ribosomal RNA", at positions 509 to 807 of the family's 1533-position model. The record is from RNAcentral.